GACCAACUCUGGCGGCGUGCUUAACACAUGCAAGUCGAACGGAAAGGCCCUGCUUUUGUGGGGUGCUCGAGUGGCGAACGGGUGAGUAACACGUGAGUAACCUGCCCUUGACUUUGGGAUAACUUCAGGAAACUGGGGCUAAUACCGGAUAGGAGCUCCUGCUGCAUGGUGGGGGUUGGAAAGUUUCGGCGGUUGGGGAUGGACUCGCGGCUUAUCAGCUUGUUGGUGGGGUAGUGGCUUACCAAGGCUUUGACGGGUAGCCGGCCUGAGAGGGUGACCGGCCACAUUGGGACUGAGACACGGCCCAGACUCCUACGGGAGGCAGCAGCGGGGAAUAUUGCGCAAUGGGCGGAAGCCUGAUGCAGCAACGCCGCGUGCGGGAUGACGGCCUUCGGGUUGUAAACCGCUUUCGCCUGUGACGAAGCGUGAGUGACGGUAAUGGGUAAAGAAGCACCGGCUAACUACGUGCCAGCAGCCGCGGUGAUACGUAGGGUGCGAGCGUUGUCCGGAUUUAUUGGGCGUAAAGGGCUCGUAGGUGGUUGAUCGCGUCGGAAGUGUAAUCUUGGGGCUUAACCCUGAGCGUGCUUUCGAUACGGGUUGACUUGAGGAAGGUAGGGGAGAAUGGAAUUCCUGGUGGAGCGGUGGAAUGCGCAGAUACCAGGAGGAACACCAGUGGCGAAGGCGGUUCUCUGGGCCUUUCCUGACGCUGAGGAGCGAAAGCGUGGGGAGCGAACAGGCUUAGAUACCCUGGUAGUCCACGCUGUAAACGGUGGGUACUAGGUGUGGGGUCCAUUCCACGGGUUCCGUGCCGUAGCUAACGCUUUAAGUACCCCGCCUGGGGAGUACGGCCGCAAGGCUAAAACUCAAAGGAAUUGACGGGGCCCCGCACAAGCGGCGGAGCAUGCGGAUUAAUUCGAUGCAACGCGUAGAACCUUACCUGGGUUUGACAUGGAUCGGGAGUGCUCAGAGAUGGGUGUGCCUCUUUUGGGGUCGGUUCACAGGUGGUGCAUGCCUGUCGUCAGCUCGUGUCGUGAGAUGUUGGGUUAAGUCCCGCAACGAGCGCAACCCUUGUUCACUGUUGCCAGCACGUUAUGGUGGGGACUCAGUGGAGACCGCCGGGGUCAACUCGGAGGAAGGUGGGGAUGACGUCAAGUCCUCAUGCCCCUUAUGUCCAGGGCUUCACGCAUGCUACAAUGGCUGGUACAGAGAGUGGCGAGCCUGUGAGGGUGAGCGAAUCUCGGAAAGCCGGUCUCAGUUCGGAUUGGGGUCUGCGACUCGACCUCAUGAAGUCGGAGUCGCUAGUAAUCGCAGAUCAGCAACGCUGCGGUGAAUACGUUCCCGGGGCU
This 1346-nucleotide ribosomal RNA is filed under the name uncultured bacterium. RNAcentral's name for it is "bacterial SSU rRNA". It matches the Rfam family "Bacterial small subunit ribosomal RNA", at positions 28 to 1381 of the family's 1533-position model. The record is from RNAcentral.